UGCGUAGGCGGCAAUUCAAGUCAGGUGUGAAAUGCCUGAGCUCAACUGAGGCAUUGCGCUUGAAACUGAACUGCUUGAGUAUCCCAGGGGUGUGCGGAACUGCCAGUGGAGCGGUGAAAUGUGUUGAUAUUGGCAGGAACACCGGAGGCGAAAGCGGCACACUGGGGGAUAACUGACGCUGAGGCACGAAAGCCAGGGGAGCGAACG
RNAcentral lists this ribosomal RNA (207 nucleotides) under uncultured bacterium. RNAcentral describes it as "partial 16S ribosomal RNA". It matches the Rfam family "Bacterial small subunit ribosomal RNA", at positions 568 to 774 of the family's 1533-position model. The record is from RNAcentral.